AGGUAUCUCAUUGUGAUUGAUGAUGUAUGGACCAUAUCUGCUUGGGAUGCAAUACGAUGUGAACUUCCAGAAAACAACAAUAGUAGCAGAAUCAUUGUGACCACACGGAUAGAGAGUGUUGCCAAAACAUGUAGCCCAAGUAGUGCUUGGGGACAUUAUAUCCAUCAAGUCAAACCCCUCAAGCCAGAAGAUUCCAAGAGACUCUUUCUUGACAGGGUAUAUGGCCAGGUCAAUGCUUGCCCUGAGGAGCUGAGUGAGGCAAUGGAUGAAAUUUUGAGGAAAUGUGGCGGGUUGCCAUUAGCAAUUGUUAGCAUUGCUAGCCUUCUUGCUAGCUACGAGUCUCAUAGAAGGUUGGAGAUGUGGAGGAGAAUUUGCACUUCAAUUGGUUCUCAAAUGGAGAGUAACCCUACCCUUGAGGGCAUGCGACAGUUAAUUACACUCAGCUACAAUCACUUGCCUCAUCAUCUCAAAGCUUGUAUGAUGUAUCUCAGCAUUUUCCCGGAGGACUAUGUGUUAAACAAGGAUCGACUAUUCAAUAGAUGGAUUGCUGAGGGGUUGAUACCAGAGAAGCGAGGGUUGACACUACAUGAGGUUGCAGAAGCAUACUUUGACGAGCUGCUGAGUAGGAACAUGAUCAAACCAGAAGGAAUUACUUAUGAAGCUGAAGUGACAGAGUGCAGUGUGCAUGAUAUGAUGCAUGAGGUCAUUGUGUCUAAGUCCCUUGAGGCAAACUUUGUCAGCUUGGUAGGAGGCUCAUGUGGAGGAACAUCACACGACACUGUUCGACGCCUCUCAGUUCAGGGCGACCUGGAUCCUAGUGUUGAGGAGAUGAGCUUGCGACAUGUACGGUCUCUAAGCUCAUUUCGCCCAGAAGGUAAAGUCAAGUUGCUUGAUCGGCUCCCCGAGUUCAUCUUACUCAGGGUACUCGACCUAGAAAGCUGCAAAGACGUGAGAGAUUACCAUUUGAAGUCCAUUUGCCGGUUGUUCCUGCUCAGAUUCUUGAAUUUAAACGAUACAGAUAUUACAGUAUUGCCUAGUCAGAUAGGUGAGCUACGACACUUGCGGACACUAUGGCUACAUAAUACACUCCUUGACGGUGUGCCAGAAUCAAUGGUAAAUCUGGAGAAACUUGAGAACUUGUCCUUCUUCAAGAGAAAUGAUUGGAAUAGAUAUGUGAGGCUGCCUUCAGGCCUCCGGAAAAUGAAGGCACUAUGAGUGAUGCCAAGGCUAGAACUCGACGAGGAUGAUGUUGAACUUGCUGAGGAGCUAGGCGACUUGGUGCAGCUACGAAAACUGCAUAUCAACCUCCAGUGCAGAGACUGUUGGGACAAGCCUGUUCUCACAGAGCUUGGGAGAUCCAUUGGCAAGCUAAGCUCCCUUCGUGAGUUUGGCAUUGAAGAUAUGACAUUUAUUAAUGCAAACAACAUGAGAUUUCUCGAACACCUCCCUCCACCGCAGCUCCUCCAUAAACUCAAGAUUGGUGGCAAACUUGACAGAAUUCCACCUUGGGUGCAGUCCCACACACACCUUGUUGAUAUAGAAUUUUGGUGGAUAGACAUGUCGGCUGAUGAAAUAUAUGGUGUCCUGCACAAGUUGCCUAACCUGUUAAGGAUCAGCUUCGACAGGAGAUGCUGCAAUGAGGCAGAAUUGGUGGCGCGCACCACCUCUAUGUUCCCGGUGCUCAAGGUGCUUGAAUUUCACCGUGACGUGUUGCCGAGAGUUAUCCAAUUUGAGAGUGGGUCCAUGGAUAAUCUCAUGAGGCUCAGAGUAUGCUUUGAUGAUGAGCAUAGGCGCCUGGAUGGUACGGAGAACUUGAUCGGUCUUAAGGAGGUGGAGCUCGUUGGUAAGAGAAACACCAAAGCACUACACGAUGCAGUGGAGCAGCUGAAGACAGAGAGUCAAAGUCGCGCUGAAUCUGAGCAGUUCAAAGUUAUAGUGAAAUAUGAAUGA
This 1950-nucleotide ribosomal RNA is filed under the name Triticum aestivum (bread wheat). Its description in RNAcentral is "partial small subunit ribosomal RNA". Lineage: Eukaryota; Viridiplantae; Streptophyta; Magnoliopsida; Poales; Poaceae. The record is from RNAcentral.